AGUGAACGCUGGCGGGAGGCCUAACACAUGCAAGUCGAACGGCAGCACAGUAAGAGCUUGCUCUUACGGGUGGCGAGUGGCGGACGGGUGAGGAAUACAUCGGAAUCUACUUUUUCGUGGGGGAUAACGUAGGGAAACUUACGCUAAUACCGCAUACGCCCUACGGGUGAAAGCAGGGGAUCUUCGGACCUUGCGCGCUUGACUGAGCCGAUGUCGGAUUAGCUAGUUGGCGGGGUAAAGGCCCACCAAGGCGACGAUCCGUAGCUGGUCUGAGAGGAUGAUCAGCCACACUGGAACUGAGACACGGUCCAGACUCCUACGGGAGGCAGCAGUGGGGAAUAUUGGACAAUGGGCGCAAGCCUGAUCCAGCCAUACCGCGUGGGUGAAGAAGGCCUUCGGGUUGUAAAGCCCUUUUGUUGGGAAAGAAAAGCAGCAGGUUAAUACCCCGCUGUUCUGACGGUACCCAAAGAAUAAGCACCGGCUAACUUCGUG
RNAcentral lists this ribosomal RNA (492 nucleotides) under uncultured bacterium. Its description in RNAcentral is "partial 16S ribosomal RNA". It matches the Rfam family "Bacterial small subunit ribosomal RNA", at positions 29 to 507 of the family's 1533-position model. The record is from RNAcentral.